UUUUUGCGUGAGGGAUAGAAGUGGAAAUCCUUUUUUAUCUCGUUCUUUAACGAGGUAAAAAAGAUUGCAGCGGAUAGCCCGACCCUUG
This 88-nucleotide small RNA is filed under the name Flavobacterium xinjiangense. RNAcentral describes it as "Flavo-1 RNA". It matches the Rfam family "Flavo-1 RNA". The record is from RNAcentral. Lineage: Bacteria; Pseudomonadati; Bacteroidota; Flavobacteriia; Flavobacteriales; Flavobacteriaceae.